Molecule: ribosomal RNA, 599 nt
Filed under: bacterium enrichment culture clone T47x__G9_T3_A11
Lineage: Bacteria
Description: bacterial SSU rRNA
Rfam family: Bacterial small subunit ribosomal RNA
Source: RNAcentral
GGCCCGCACAAGCGGUGGAGCAUGUGGUUAAAUUCGAUGCAACGCGAAGAACCUUACCAGGGCUUGACAUGCCCGCGACCCCACAAGGGUCGUGCUCUUCCAAGAAAAGGGAAGAAGUUUUUUUUAAACGGACACAGGUGGUGCAUGGCUGUCGUCAGCUCGUGUCGUGAGACGUUGGGUUAAGUCCCGCAACGAGCGCAACCCCCGUGAGAAGUUGCCUAUUUUUAAUAGUGCUCUCUACUCAGACUGCCGGUGACAAGCCGGAGGAAGGUGAGGAUGACGUCAAGUCAGCAUGCCCCUUACGCCCUGGGCUACACACGUGCUACAAUGGCCGGGACAAUAGGAUGCUACCCCGCAAGGAUAAGCUAAGCCCCAAACCCGGUCUCAGUUCGGAUUGUAGGCUGCAACUCGCCUGCAUGAAGGAGGAAUCGCUAGUAAUCGCCGGUCAGCCACACGGUGGUGAAUACGUUCCCGGGCCUUGUACACACCGCCCGUCACACUAGGGGAGCUGGCUCUGCUCUAAGUCGUGACUCUAACCGUGAGGAGGAGAACGCCAAAAGCAGGGCUCGUGACUCGAGUGAAGUCGUAACAAGGUAGCG